GACGAACGCUGGCGGCGUGCUUAACACAUGCAAGUCGAACGCUGAAGCUCAGCUUUUGUUGGGUGGAUGAGUGGCGAACGGGUGAGUAACACGUGAGUAACCUGCCUCCUUCUUUGGGAUAACGCCCGGAAACGGGUGCUAAUACUGGAUAUUCACUGGUCUUCGCAUGGGGGUUGGUGGAAAGGGUUUUUCUGGUGGGGGAUGGGCUCGCGGCCUAUCAGCUUGUUGGUGGGGUGAUGGCCUACCAAGGCUUUGACGGGUAGCCGGCCUGAGAGGGUGACCGGUCACAUUGGGACUGAGAUACGGCCCAGACUCCAACGGGAGGCAGCAGUGGGGAAUAUUGCACAAUGGGCGCAAGCCUGAUGCAGCGACGCCGCGUGAGGGAUGGAGGCCUUCGGGUUGUGAACCUCUUUCGCUCAUGGUCAAGCCGCAACAAUGGUUGUGGUGAGGGUAGUGGGUAAAGAAGCGCCGGCUAACUACGUG
This 483-nucleotide ribosomal RNA is filed under the name uncultured bacterium. RNAcentral describes it as "partial 16S ribosomal RNA". It matches the Rfam family "Bacterial small subunit ribosomal RNA", at positions 28 to 507 of the family's 1533-position model. The record is from RNAcentral.